Molecule: ribosomal RNA, 468 nt
Filed under: uncultured bacterium
Lineage: Bacteria
Description: partial 16S ribosomal RNA
Rfam family: Bacterial small subunit ribosomal RNA
Source: RNAcentral
GACGAACGCUGGCGGCGUGCUUAACACAUGCAAGUCGAACGGAAAGGCCCUGCUUUUGUGGGGUGCUCGAGUGGCGAACGGGUGAGUAACACGUGAGUAACCUGCCCUUGACUUUGGGAUAACUUCAGGAAGCUGGGGCUAAUACCGGAUAGGAGCUCCUGCUGCAUGGUGGGGGUUGGAAAGUUUCGGCGGUUGGGGAUGGACUCGCGGCUUAUCAGCUUGUUGGUGGGGUAGUGGCUUACCAAGGCUUUUACGGGUAGCCGGCCUGGGAGGGUGACCGGCCAAAUUGGGACUGAGAGACAGCCCAGACUCCUACAGGAGGCAGCAGUGGGGAAUAUUGCGCAAUGGGCGGAAGCGUAAUGCAGCAACGCCGCGUGCGGGAUGACGGCCUUCGGGUUGUAAACCGCUUUCGCCUGUGACGAAGCGUGAGUGACGGUAAUGGGUAAAGAAGCACCGGCUAACUACGUG